Molecule: ribosomal RNA, 229 nt
Filed under: uncultured bacterium
Lineage: Bacteria
Description: partial 16S ribosomal RNA
Rfam family: Bacterial small subunit ribosomal RNA
Source: RNAcentral
CGGGGUGAGUAAUGCUUGGGAAUCUGGCUUAUGGAGGGGGGUAACUACGGGAAACUGUAGCUAAUACCGCGUAGAAUCGGGAGAUGAAAGUGUGGGACCUUCGGGCCACAUGCCAUAGGAUGAGCCCAAGUGGGAUUAGGUAGUUGGUGAGGUAAAGGCUCACCAAGCCGACGAUCUCUAGCUGGUCUGAGAGGAUGACCAGCCACACUGGGACUGAGACACGGCCCAG